Long non-coding RNA from Oreochromis aureus, 1070 nucleotides. The record is from Ensembl. NCBI's taxonomy places the organism in Eukaryota, Metazoa, Chordata, Actinopteri, Cichliformes, Cichlidae.
UCAGCCAGCAGCACAGGCCCUGAUGUAAUGUGGAUGGUAUCAGCCAGCACCACAGGCUCUGGUGAAAUGUAGAUGACGUCAGCCAGCAGCGCAGGCCCUGGUGUAAUGUGGAUGGCUUCAGCCAGCACCGCAGGCCCUGGUGUGGUGAAGAUGGCCUCACAGGAAGCACAGGCCCUGGUGUGAUAUGGAUGGUAUCAGCCAGCACCACAGGCUCUGGUGAAAUGUAGAUGACGUCAGCCAGCAGCGCAGGCCCUGGUGUGGUGAAGAUGGCCUCACAGGAAGCACUGGCCCUGGUGUGAUAUGGAUGGUAUCAGCCAGCACCACAGGCUCUGGUGAAAUGUAGAUGACGUCAGCCAGCAGCUCAGGCUCUGGUGUGGUGAAGAUGGCCUCACAGGAAGCACUGGCUCUGGUGUAAUAUGGAUGGUAUCAGCCAGCAGCACAGGCCCUGGUGAAAUGUAGAUGACGUCAGCCAGCAGCGCAGGCCCUGGUGUGGUGAAGAUGGCCUCACAGGAAGCACUGGCUCUGGUGUAAUAUGGAUGGCAUCAGCCAGAAGCACAGGCCCUGGUGUAAUGUGGAUGGCAUCAGCCAGCACCACAGGCUUGGUGUGGUGAAGAUGGCCUCACAGGAAGCACAGGCCCUGGUGUAAUGUGGAUGGUAUCAGCCAGCACCACAGGGCCUGGUGUGGUGAAGACGGCCUCAGCCAGAAGCACUGGCCCAGGUGUAAUGUGGAUGGCUUCAGCCAGCACCGCAGGCCCUGGUGUGGUGAAGAUGGCCUCACAGGAAGCACAGGCUCUGGUGUAAUGUGGAUGGCAUCAGCCAGCACCACAGGCCCUGGUGUGAUAUGGAUGGUAUCAGCCAGCACCACAGGCUCUGGUGAAAUGUAGAUGACGUCAGCCAGCAGCGCAGGCCCUGGUGUGGUGAAGAUGGCCUCACAGGAAGCACUGGCUCUGGUGUAAAAUGGAUGGCAUCAGCCAGAAGCACAGGCCCUGGUGUGAUAUUGAUGGCGUCAGCCAGCACCACAGUCUCUGGUGUAAUGUGGAUGGCAUCAGCCAGCACCAGAGGCCCUGGGG